RNAcentral lists this ribosomal RNA (288 nucleotides) under uncultured Glomus. Its description in RNAcentral is "partial 18S ribosomal RNA". It matches the Rfam family "Eukaryotic small subunit ribosomal RNA", at positions 624 to 912 of the family's 1831-position model. The record is from RNAcentral. Lineage: Eukaryota; Fungi; Glomeromycota; Glomeromycetes; Glomerales; Glomeraceae.
AAGCUCGUAGUUGAAUUUCGGAAUCAAUAUGUUGGUCGUGCCAUUGGUACGUACUGGCAUUAUUGGUUUCUACCUUCUGAAGAACCUCGAUGUCAUUAAUUUGGUGUCUUGGGGAAUCAGGACUGUUACUUUGAAAAAAUUAGAGUGUUUAAAGCAGGCUCGCGCUUGAAGACAUUAGCAUGGAAUAAUGAAAUAGGACGUUUGAUUCUAUUUUGUUGGUUUCUAGGAUCGACGUAAUAGUAAUUAAGGUAGGUAGUUAGGGUUCGGUCGUAGGACGGGCCGGUCGGU